CUAUUUCUUGUUUCGGAGAAUCGAGUUCCUAAUCUUUCAACGGUUUUUCACGAAAUUUUCAUUUCUCGUAAAGUUGCUGCGUAAUAGACGCUUGGUAAUUUUGAUUCGAUUAUAAUUGCUCGGUAUUCGUAAUACCGGGCUGUGAUUUUAUGGCGAAGACGACCUUGUCGCCGUGAGAGCCCAGAGCCUGUUGCACUUCGAUGGCAUACUAUACGUAUCGGUGCAACUAAUCUAACUGGCACGUGCAAUACUGCUGAGAACGAUUCCGUAGCUACUCAAACCGGAUUUCUGUUCACUACAUUCGAGCAGAAUUGAUAAAAGUUUUUACUACCUACAAUAAAGUCUCCUCGUCCGGCUGGUCACCAACCACACGUAUAAAGUGAAGAAUUUCGAGCACUAUUUUUCGUGGGAGUAUCGAAGGAGCAUUGUAUCGACCUCUCAUCGUACUACAUCUUCUACAUUCAACCUACUACACAGCUAUAGUCAUCAGGGAGGCAGAGACAUCCGGGUAAAAUCCAAGACCCCUGAGCUUGGGAACCAGCUCGGGUCCGGUUUUGGUACCGGCAGCGGUGGGGUAAGUCCCAGCAGUCAGAUUUCCUCGAUUUCUUUGCCAGCUCACACGAUGGUGAACGCUGGCAUCGGGAUCGUUGUAUUUUAUAGAAUAAGUAUAUUCCCCCAAUUCCCGUGGCGUGGCGGUACUUUUAGAUUUUAAAAUUAUUUUAUUAGCUCAGGUAAUCGUAGGUUUGGUUGUCGUUGAGCAUAGCGCACUUGCAGUUUGUAGAGUCACAGAUAUAGAAUUUUUUUUGAAAAUUAUUCAGUUAGUUGAUCUAUUGGUUAGUCAGUUGACAAAUAGUUCAUACACUAUGAACUAUUCAAAUAAAUCAUCAUCCACCAACCUUAUGUAAGCAAGAGUGCGCGGCUCAUAGGCAACGGUAAAGACCAUCGUUUGAUUGACCAACGCGUUUUCUUGCAUUUUAUAAUAAUUUUUAGUGAUUGAUCUCGUUUUCGUCGAUCACUAACUAGUAAAAAAAAUUAGGCCGUUCGAAUGGUGGUCCUUUACCAUAGUUUCACUUUCUCUAUGAGAAUCAGGUAUGAUCAGCAGCUCCGAGCAAUUAAAAAAUGCGUAAUUGAUUUUUUAGAGAUAAAAAAACUUGUCAAUUCAGUUAUUCUCAAUUCUCAUUCAUUCAAUGUAAUUAACUCCAACUUAUUGAUAUGGAAACAUAUUUUUCAACAUCUUCUUUCCUCCCUGAUUCUCUUGUUAACUUUAAGUAUCCGAUUAAGCUUCAAGAAACUACCGCGGACAUUGGAUUUAGUAUAGAAAUAAUUAGGAUAUAGAUUAAGUGUGAAAAUAAUUAAGAUAUAAAUUAAGUGUGGAAAUAAAUAAGAUUUAAAUUAAGUUUGAAAAUAAUUAAGGUAUUUAUAAUAAGGUAUAAGAAUAUUCUUGGGCAACGUUUCAUCUUCUGAAGUGGAAUCCUGAUCGAAGAAAAAUAUUAUUUCACUACCUAUAUUAUUUUUUGUUAGCAUUAAGAAAAAAAAAAAAAGAAUUAGUCAUAAGAAACCUUACCCCAAACACACACAUUUUUAAGCCCUUAAUUAAUAUGAAUUAAAUUCAUUCUUUUGCUUAUACCAUUUUCCAAUACGAUUUCAAAUGAAAUUAUCGAAACAUUGUUGUAUUUCAAUUCAUGAGAAUCACGUUAUUCAAAUCAUUUCACGAUUCUGGA
This is a long non-coding RNA of Athalia rosae (coleseed sawfly), 1721 nucleotides long. RefSeq lists it as uncharacterized. The record is from RefSeq and is a predicted model, not a curated record. The transcript is spliced from 4 exons. Lineage: Eukaryota; Metazoa; Arthropoda; Insecta; Hymenoptera; Athaliidae.